This 556-nucleotide ribosomal RNA is filed under the name uncultured bacterium. Its description in RNAcentral is "bacterial SSU rRNA". It matches the Rfam family "Bacterial small subunit ribosomal RNA", at positions 777 to 1341 of the family's 1533-position model. The record is from RNAcentral.
AAUAGAUACCCGGGUAGUCCACGCCGUAAACGAUGGAUGCUAGCUAUUGGGGGGAAUCGACCCCCUCCGAAGCGAAGCUAACGCGUUAAGCAUCCCGCCUGAGUAGUACGAGCGCAAGCUUAAAACUCAAAGGAAUUGACGGGGACCCGCACAAGCGGUGGAGCGUGUGGUUUAAUUCGAUGGUAAACGAAGAACCUUACCAAGGUUUGACAUCCCGGUAGCCGUUCUCCGAAAGGAGAAUUUCAUUUAGUUGGACCGGUGACAGGUGAUGCAUGGCCGUCGUCAGCUCGUGUCGUGAGAUGUUGGGUUAAGUCCCGCAACGAGCGCAACCCUUAUGAUUUAGUUGGAUUUUUCUAAACAGACUGCCCUGGUAACAGGGAGGAAGGAGGGGAUGAUGUCAGGUCAGUAUUUCCCUUGCACCUUGGGCGACACACGCGCUACAAUGGCCGGUACAAUGGGCAGCUAAGCCGCGAGGUGGAGCAAAUCCCAUCAAAGCCGGUCCCGAGUUCGGAUUGCAGGCUGAAACCCGCCUGCAUGAAGCCGGAAUCGCUAGUAA